GAAGCAGCUGUAGGAUGCUGAGGUAAACUAUAAUGCCUACCAAGUCGGAUGGAGUGGGCAGGUAGAGGACUACCGAAGGAAGCUCCAGACGGCGACCGACGAAGUAGCCCACCUUCGGAGGUAGUUGUCCAGGAGAGUCCAGCCUGCCUCUGCAUGAGGCUCCGAUGAGCUCUGCUCUUUGAGGGAGACUAUGGCGGAAUUGUCUGUGGCCCUUGGACGGGGGGAGGUCGAACUACAGCGGCUGAAGAUUCAGCUCCACGAGCAGCAGGCGGUCAAGGA
This 279-nucleotide long non-coding RNA is filed under the name Elaeis guineensis (African oil palm). RNAcentral describes it as "long non-coding RNA (EGUI_LNC002756)". The record is from RNAcentral. Lineage: Eukaryota; Viridiplantae; Streptophyta; Magnoliopsida; Arecales; Arecaceae.